AUUUGUUGAUCUUUCAGGUCUCUUCCACUGAGUUUAUGGUUCCAUGAAUCAUUCCUCGGACACAGGCCAAGUCAGUGAUGAAGUGGUCUGGGGAGUCGUGGGGUCAGAGUUGAAAUGGAGAUGUAGUGAGGGGUGAGAACCGGGGUUCCGAGGGAGGAGAUGCUAAAUGACAGCACAGUGUCAGGAAAUAAGUUUUUUCCCUUGCAAAACUUGGUAAUCAGACGGGAUAUCGGAGAAGUGCACUGGUAGAGAGAAGCAUUAGCCAGUUAGAGAAUGGCAGGGGGGUGGUGGCCUGGUCAAGGGGGAGGACAAGUCCAGGGGUGUUGUGGAUGAAGAAGAUGGCUGCAAUCUCACCCUCCAUUGCUCCCAAAGGAAGGACAAUGCCAUUGUCUUCUGAGUUCAUCUGCAAACACAAAAAAGAACAACUACUGCCUUGGAUACUACAUUGUAAUGUAAAACCUGCGCGAUUUUCUGAGUGGAAACAAAGGAUUGGGAAGCACAAACACAGGAGCUGGCUAGGAAUCAGUGGAGUUGUUUUCCCCUCUCAGCUGUACGGUCAGAUUGUGAGGAUCCCCGAACGUGCCUCAGGCACAGGCAAAUGCUCCAGAGACUCGUCCCUACCACUUGGCCACUGACCAAAUACAUGUGAGUCUCACUUAGACCCGAGCUCUCAGCUUGGUGACAUGUUCUCAAGUGCACAGUGAACUACUUGUAACCGUGUUUAGAGAAAACCACUUCACUGUGGUAACAGUGAUCUAAAAACUUCUCCAUGUGAGUGAAAUGAUGCCAUCAUAGGGGCAGAGAAAUGAAAGGAGGGAAACUAUUUCUGAAACUCAGGAUGAUGAAGCCAUGAUGAACAGUGGACACUCCUA
RNAcentral lists this long non-coding RNA (872 nucleotides) under Cavia porcellus (domestic guinea pig). RNAcentral describes it as "lncRNA (ENSCPOG00000034142.1)". The record is from RNAcentral. Lineage: Eukaryota; Metazoa; Chordata; Mammalia; Rodentia; Caviidae.